UUACGGCCAUAUCACGUUGAAACACCAGUUCCCGUAGUAUCACCGAAGUUAAGCAAUGUCGAACUUGGUUAGUACCUAGAUGGGUAAAUGCUUGGGAAUACCAAGUGUUGUAAU
This is a non-coding RNA of Acanthosepion pharaonis, 114 nucleotides long. NCBI's taxonomy places the organism in Eukaryota, Metazoa, Mollusca, Cephalopoda, Sepiida, Sepiidae. The record is from the annotation of a GenBank genome assembly.